AGCCCCGUGGUGUAGUGGCCAAGCAUACAGGGCUUUGGACCCUGUGACGGGAGUUCGAAUCUCCCCGGGGCUA
This 73-nucleotide transfer RNA is filed under the name Candidatus Woesearchaeota archaeon. RNAcentral's name for it is "tRNA-Gln". It matches the Rfam family "tRNA". Rfam says of the family: Transfer RNA (tRNA) molecules are approximately 80 nucleotides in length. Their secondary structure includes four short double-helical elements and three loops (D, anti-codon, and T loops). Lineage: Archaea; Nanobdellati; Candidatus Woesearchaeota. The record is from RNAcentral. RNAcentral also lists the same sequence under 1 other name.